CAGUCGCCGCGGGAAUACAGAGGGUGCAAGCGUUAAUCGGAAUUACUGGGCGUAAAGCGUGCGCAGGCGGUUUGUUAAGACAGAUGUGAAAUCCCCGGGCUCAACCUGGGAACUGCAUUUGUGACUGGCAGGCUAGAGUAUGGCAGAGGGGGGUGGAAUUCCGCGUGUAGCAGUGAAAUGCGUAGAUAUGCGGAGGAACACCGAUGGCGAAGGCAGCCCCCUGGGCCAAUACUGACGCUCAUGCACGAAAGCGUGGGGAGCAAACAGGAUUAGAUACCCCCGUAGUCCCUGUCUCUUAUAC
RNAcentral lists this ribosomal RNA (301 nucleotides) under uncultured bacterium. Its description in RNAcentral is "partial 16S ribosomal RNA". It matches the Rfam family "Bacterial small subunit ribosomal RNA", at positions 509 to 807 of the family's 1533-position model. The record is from RNAcentral.